UUGCAAUGAUGAAUUAAUAGGGAACCGGGUGAGAGUCCCGGACAGUUCCCGCUGCUGUAAGUUUCUACUCCAUAAAAGAGUACAAAAUAUUCCGGCAACCAAAUGCCACUGGUAUCUCAUAUACCGGGAAGGCGCCGGAGUUGAAACAAGUCAGAAGACCUGCCUUUGCAAAUA
RNAcentral lists this non-coding RNA (174 nucleotides) under human gut metagenome. The record is from RNAcentral.